AGUGAACGCUGGCGGUAGGCCUAGCACAUGCAAGUCGAACGGCAGCACAGUAAGAGCUUGCUCUUACGGGUGGCGAGUGGCGGACGGGUGAGGAAUACAUCGGAAUCUACUUUUUCGUGGGGGAUAACGUAGGGAAACUUACGCUAAUACCGCAUACGACCUACGGGUGAAAGCAGGGGAUCUUCGGACCUUGCGCGAUUGAAUGAGCCGAUGUCGGAUUAGCUAGUUGGCGGGGUAAAGGCCCACCAAGGCGACGAUCCGUAGCUGGUCUGAGAGGAUGAUCAGCCACACUGGAACUGAGACACGGUCCAGACUCCUACGGGAGGCAGCAGUGGGGAAUAUUGGACAAUGGGCGCAAGCCUGAUCCAGCCAUACCGCGUGGGUGAAGAAGGCCUUCGGGCUGUAAAGCCCUUUUGUUGGGAAAGAAAAGCAGCAGGUUAAUACCCCGCUGUUCUGACGGUACCCAAAGAAUAAGCACCGGCUAACUUCGUG
This 492-nucleotide ribosomal RNA is filed under the name uncultured bacterium. RNAcentral describes it as "partial 16S ribosomal RNA". It matches the Rfam family "Bacterial small subunit ribosomal RNA", at positions 29 to 507 of the family's 1533-position model. The record is from RNAcentral.